RNAcentral lists this ribosomal RNA (433 nucleotides) under uncultured bacterium. RNAcentral's name for it is "partial 16S ribosomal RNA". It matches the Rfam family "Bacterial small subunit ribosomal RNA", at positions 29 to 507 of the family's 1533-position model. The record is from RNAcentral.
AACGAACGCUGGCGGCAUGCCUAACACAUGCAAGUCGAACGAGACCUUCGGGUCUAGUGGCGCACGGGUGCGUAACGCGUGGGAACCUGCCCUUAGGUUCGGAAUAACUCCCCGAAAGGGGUGCUAAUUCCGGAUAAUGUCUUCGGACCAAAGAUUUAUCGCCUCUGGAUGGGCCCGCGUUGGAUUAGCUAGUUGGUAGGGUAAAAGCCUACCAAGGCGACGAUCCAUAGCUGGUCUGAGAGGAUGAUCAGCCACACUGGGACUGAGACACGGCCCAGACUCCUACGGGAGGCAGCAGUGGGGAAUAUUGGACAAUGGGCGAAAGCCUGAUCCAGCAAUGCCGCGUGAGUGAUGAAGGCCUUAGGGUUGUAAAGCUCUUUUACCCGGGAUGAUAAUGACAGUACCGGGAGAAUAAGCUCCGGCUAACUCCGUG